Molecule: small RNA, 256 nt
Filed under: Meriones unguiculatus (Mongolian gerbil)
Lineage: Eukaryota; Metazoa; Chordata; Mammalia; Rodentia; Muridae
Description: 7SK RNA (ENSMUGG00000002262.1)
Rfam family: 7SK RNA
About the family: 7SK was discovered as an abundant small nuclear RNA in the mid-70s but a possible function has only recently been suggested. Two independent studies have found that 7SK RNA binds the CDK9/cyclin T complex (known as elongation factor P-TEFb). P-TEFb activates transcription by phosphorylating the C-terminal domain of RNA polymerase II.
Source: RNAcentral
GGAAUAUUUGGCUGUGGCAUCUGUCAUCCUUCACGUUCUAGGCAGAUUCAGCUGAUGUGGCUAAGUGGUGUCUUUCUCACUCACUACUCCAGAUGCCUCAGUUCCAAAGCUGCAUGCUCAUUUGACAAGGAUGACUUUUCCUCAGAGAGGAGGAUGGUCAUAGGUGGAAGGCAUAUGUGCACCUGAAAGCUUCUGUAAAACCUCCAAACAUGUUCUGUAGAGAUGUUCUAACGUUUACUGCAUAGCCAUUCUCACU